RNAcentral lists this ribosomal RNA (253 nucleotides) under uncultured bacterium. Its description in RNAcentral is "partial 16S ribosomal RNA". It matches the Rfam family "Bacterial small subunit ribosomal RNA", at positions 524 to 776 of the family's 1533-position model. The record is from RNAcentral.
GACAUAGGUUGCGAACGUUAUCCGGAAUUAUUGGGCGUAAAGAGCUCGUAGGCGGUUUGUCGCGUCUGCCGUGAAAGUCCGGGGCUCAACUCCGGAUCUGCGGUGGGUACGGGCAGACUAGAGUGAUGUAGGGGAGACUGGAAUUCCUGGUGUAGCGGUGAAAUGCGCAGAUAUCAGGAGGAACACCGAUGGCGAAGGCAGGUCUCUGGGCAUUAACUGACGCUGAGGAGCGAAAGCAUGGGGAGCGAACAGG